UACGUAGGGGGCAAGCGUUGUCCGGAGUUACUGGGCGUAAAGGGUCCGCAGGCGGUCGCCUACGUUUGCUGUGACAGUGCCCGGCUUAACUGGGCAAGGAUAGCGAAAACGGGACGACUUGAGGCGAGCAGAGGGAUGCGGAAUUCCGGGUGGAGCGGUGAAAUGCGUAGAGAUCCGGAGGAACACCAAUGGCGAAGGCAGCAUCCUGGGCUUGUCCUGACGCUACGGGACGAAAGCCAGGGGAGCGAACGGG
This 253-nucleotide ribosomal RNA is filed under the name uncultured bacterium. Its description in RNAcentral is "partial 16S ribosomal RNA". It matches the Rfam family "Bacterial small subunit ribosomal RNA", at positions 524 to 776 of the family's 1533-position model. The record is from RNAcentral.